Molecule: ribosomal RNA, 660 nt
Filed under: uncultured beta proteobacterium
Lineage: Bacteria; Pseudomonadati; Pseudomonadota; Betaproteobacteria
Description: bacterial SSU rRNA
Rfam family: Bacterial small subunit ribosomal RNA
Source: RNAcentral
CGGUCUGGCGGCGAGUGGCGAACGGGUGAGUAAUGUAUCGGAACGUGCCUAGUAGCGGGGGAUAACUACUCGAAAGAGUAGCUAAUACCGCAUACGCCCUACGGGGGAAAGGGGGGGAUCGCAAGACCUCUCACUAUUAGAGCGGCCGAUAUCGGAUUAGCUAGUUGGUGAGGUAAAGGCUCACCAAGGCGACGAUCCGCAGCUGGUUUGAGAGGACGACCAGCCACACUGGGACUGAGACACGGCCCAGACUCCUACGGGAGGCAGCAGUGGGGAAUUUUGGACAAUGGGGGAAACCCUGAUCCAGCCAUUCCGCGUGUGCGAUGAAGGCCUUCGGGUUGUAAAGCACUUUUGGCAGGAAAGAAAUCGCACCAAUUAAUACUUGGUGUGGAUGACGGUACCUGCAGAAUAAGCACCGGCUAACUACGUGCCAGCAGCCGCGGUAAUACGUAGGGUGCAAGCGUUAAUCGGAAUUACUGGGCGUAAAGCGUGCGCAGGCGGUUUGGAAAGAGAGGUGUGAAAUCCCAGGGCUCAACCUUGGAACUGCACUUUUAACUACCGAGCUAGAGUAUGUCAGAGGGGGGUGGAAUUCCGCGUGUAGCAGUGAAAUGCGUAGAUAUGCGGAGGAACACCGAUGGCGAAGGCAGCCCCCUGGGAUAA